GCCUCAGUAACGGCGAAGUGAAGCGGCAACAGCCCAGAUUUGAAAUCCGGCUUUCGGGCCCGAAUUGUAAUCUUGCAGAUGAGUCUUUUGGCGAGGUGCCGUCCAAGUUCCCUGGAAUGGGACGCCGGAGAGGGUGAGAGCCCCGUACCGACGCGCGCCGAGCCUCUGCAAAGCUCAUUCGACGAGUCGAGUAGUUUGGAAAUGCUGCUCUAAUCGUGGGGUAAAUCUCCCAUAAGGCUAAAUACCGGCCAGAGACCGAUAGCGCACAAGUAGCGUGAGCGAAAGAUGAAAAGAGCCUUGGAUAAGGGCGUCAAAAAGUAUGUGAAAUUGUUGUGGGGGAAGCGCUCAGUGCCAGACGUGGCGGCGGCUGGUUACCCGGCGUUCUUCGCCGGCGCACUCUGCCGUCGCCAGGCCAGCAUCGGUUCGGAUCGGGGCUCACCGCCGCGGGCAACGUAGCCCUUCGGGGUGUUUAGGCCCGCGGCAACGUCCCGGACUGGACCGAGGAACGCGCAUCUGCCCGGAUGCUGGCGUAAUGGCCCCUAGCGACCCGUCUUGAAACACGGACCAAGGAGUUGACCUAGCGUGCGAGUGUUUGGGUGUCAAGCCCUCACGCGCAGUGAAAGCGAACGCAGGUGGGAGCCUCGGCGCACCAUCGACCGAUCCUGAAGUUCACGGAUGGAUUUGAGUAGGAGCACGCUGGGUCUGACCCGAAAGAAGGUGAACUAUGCAUGAAUAGGGUGAAGCCAGAGGAAACUCUGGUGGAGGCUCGCAGCGGUUCUGACGUGCAAAUCGAUCGUCAAAUUUGUGCAU
This 810-nucleotide ribosomal RNA is filed under the name Melanotrigonum ovale. Its description in RNAcentral is "LSU rRNA". It matches the Rfam family "Eukaryotic large subunit ribosomal RNA", at positions 77 to 918 of the family's 3401-position model. Lineage: Eukaryota; Fungi; Ascomycota; Sordariomycetes; Pleurotheciales; Pleurotheciaceae. The record is from RNAcentral.